GAUGAACGCUGGCGGCGUGCCUAAUACAUGCAAGUCGAGCGAACAGACGAGGAGCUUGCUCCUCUGACGUUACCGGCGGACGGGUGAGUAACACGUGGCUAACCUACCUCUAAGACUGGACUACCUUCGGGAAACCGGAGCUAAUACUGGAUAAUCUAUCGACCCGCAUGGUUCAAUAGAGAAUGACGGUUUUGCUGUCAACUAUAGAUGGAUCCGCGCGUCAUUAGCUUGUUGGUAAGGUAACGGCUUAACAAGGCAACGAUGCGUAGCCGUCCUGAGAGCGGGAUCGGCCACACUGGAACUGAGACACGAUCCAGAGUCCUACGGAAGGCAGCAAUAGGGAAGCGUCCGCAAUGGGCGAAAGCCUGCCGGAGCAGCGCCGCGUUGGUGAUGAAGGUCUGCGGAUCGUAAGACUCUGUUAGUGUGGAAGAACAAAUGUGUAAGUAACUAAGCUCUUCUUGACGGUACCUAAUCAGAAAGCCACGGCUAACUACGUG
RNAcentral lists this ribosomal RNA (497 nucleotides) under uncultured bacterium. RNAcentral's name for it is "partial 16S ribosomal RNA". It matches the Rfam family "Bacterial small subunit ribosomal RNA", at positions 28 to 507 of the family's 1533-position model. The record is from RNAcentral.